UUCAACCCGACGCGCGUUUCGGUGCUGUGAUGCACCUUCGUCAGGGGCUGAAUGGUUCUCCCAUUCAGCCCCUGACGAAGGUGCAUCACAGCACCGAAACGC
RNAcentral lists this microRNA precursor (102 nucleotides) under Pelobates cultripes (western spadefoot toad). Lineage: Eukaryota; Metazoa; Chordata; Amphibia; Anura; Pelobatidae. The record is from RNAcentral.